RNAcentral lists this non-coding RNA (27 nucleotides) under Homo sapiens (human). The record is from RNAcentral. Lineage: Eukaryota; Metazoa; Chordata; Mammalia; Primates; Hominidae.
UCCAAGAAGGAAACCUCAAGCCUGAAU